Molecule: ribosomal RNA, 322 nt
Filed under: uncultured eukaryote
Lineage: Eukaryota
Description: partial 18S ribosomal RNA
Rfam family: Eukaryotic small subunit ribosomal RNA
Source: RNAcentral
CCCUUAGAUGUUCUGGGCCGCACGCGUGCUACACUGAGUGGAUCAGCGGGUCAGGUUACACGAGAGCGUUUCCUAAUCUUCAAAUCCGCUCGUGAUGGGGAUUGACGGUUGCAAUUUUCCGUCAUGAACGAGGAAUACCUUGUAAGCGCGGGUCAUCAUCCCGCGCUGAAUACGUCCCUGCCCUUUGUACACACCGCCCGUCGCUCCUACCGAUUGAGUGGUCCGGUGAGGCUUUGGGAUCUAAGCGAAAAGAGCGUUUCGCUCCUUUUGCUGGGAGAACUCAGUCGAACCUUAUCAUUUAGAGGAAGGAGAAGUCGUAACA